AGAGUUUGAUCAUGGCUCAGGAUGAACGCUAGCGGCAGGCUUAAUACAUGCAAGUCGAGGGGCAGCACGAAUAGUAAUAUUUGGUGGCGACCGGCAAACGGGUGCGGAACACGUACGCAACCUUCCCAUAACUGGUGAAUAGCCUUCCGAAAGGGAGAUUAAUACACCGUAACAUAAAGAGUAGGCAUCUAUUUUUUAUUAUAGCUUCGGCGGUUUUGGAUGGGCGUGCGCCUGAUUAGGUAGUUGGCGGGGUAACGGCCCACCAAGCCUUCGAUCAGUAACUGGUGUGAGAGCACGACCAGUCACACGGGCACUGAGACACGGGCCCGACUCCUACGGGAGGCAGCAGUAAGGAAUAUUGGUCAAUGGACGCAAGUCUGAACCAGCCAUGCCGCGUGAAGGAUGAAGGCCCUCUGGGUUGUAAACUUCUUUUAUCUGGGACGAAAAAAGGGGAUUCUUCCUCACUUGACGGUACCAGAGGAAUAAGCACCGGCUAACUCCGUGCCAGCAGCCGCGGUAAUACGGAGGGUGCAAGCGUUAUCCGGAUUUACUGGGUUUAAAGGGUGCGUAGGUGGGUAAGUAAGUCAGUGGUGAAAUCUUCGAGCUUAACUCGGAAACUGCCAUUGAUACUAUUUAUCUUGAAUACUUUGGAGGUAAGCGGAAUAUGUCAUGUAGCGGUGAAAUGCUUAGAUAUGACAUGGAACACCAAUUGCGAAGGCAGCUUACUACACAGUUAUUGACACUGAGGCACGAAAGCGUGGGGAUCAAACAGGAUUAGAUACCCUAGUAGUCC
Molecule: ribosomal RNA, 793 nt
Filed under: uncultured bacterium
Lineage: Bacteria
Description: bacterial SSU rRNA
Rfam family: Bacterial small subunit ribosomal RNA
Source: RNAcentral